Non-coding RNA from Arachis ipaensis, 147 nucleotides. The record is from RefSeq and is a predicted model, not a curated record. NCBI's taxonomy places the organism in Eukaryota, Viridiplantae, Streptophyta, Magnoliopsida, Fabales, Fabaceae.
AAGGAAAGUCAAAGGUUGGGUGUUCGCGGUGCGGUUUGGUUCGGUUUUUAAGAGAAAAGCCAUCCGAUCCAAUCGUUUAAUUAAACUGCAAUUCGGUUUGGUUCGGUUUUUUUCUCAAGACCAUCCGAACCAAACCAAACCAAUUAA